This 160-nucleotide unclassified non-coding RNA is filed under the name uncultured Dothideales. RNAcentral describes it as "sequence contains ITS2". The record is from RNAcentral. Lineage: Eukaryota; Fungi; Ascomycota; Dothideomycetes; Dothideales.
CACCACUCAAGCACUGCUUGGUAUUGGGCAUCGUCCGUCGAAAGGCGGGCGUGCCUCGAAGACCUCGGCGGGGUUUCUCCAACUUCGGGCGUAGUAGAGUUAAAUCGAACGUCUUAUAAGCUUGGUGGGACUCCAUUGCCGUUAAACCUUUUAUUUUCUA